This is a long non-coding RNA of Triticum aestivum (bread wheat), 3283 nucleotides long. RefSeq lists it as uncharacterized. The transcript is spliced from 3 exons. NCBI's taxonomy places the organism in Eukaryota, Viridiplantae, Streptophyta, Magnoliopsida, Poales, Poaceae. The record is from RefSeq and is a predicted model, not a curated record.
UUUUUAUGUUACCCAGCGCGGCGAUUUCCUUGGGCGAAAGAUUUCCUUCCUAGCGCUGCAGCGAUUCAUCCGCGCGAACAGCCGAAUCAGACUGUUGAGCGGUUGUAUGCUGGCGCUGGCUCAACCCGCAGUCCUUUUUAAAAUGUCUAAUCUGAGAAAAAAAGGAAACACUAGCGGGCAGCACAUACAAGCACGGGCUCGUUCUAUGCGUAUGGGUAGGGCGGCGCCACCGCCGCUGAUCUACGUGGGGGCCGAUCUACUUCUCCGGCCAUCCGCCGCCGCCGGCCGGAUUCCUCCUACUCAUGUGCCUCUGAUUUGGAUCGAAGUCACGGCGGUAGUGGUGCGGCGGCAGCGGGCGAGGAGGCGAGGGUGGCGGCGAUGGGUGGUGAGGGCUGAAGAUGAGGUUGUCCUUGUAGGAGGAUGCCGGGGACGGGCAGCGCGAUGAGGGUGGUGCAUCGAAGUUGGAGACCGGCGUGUGUUUCGGCAAUGGCUGGAGGGGCAGCUGCGCGGUGGUGGGGAGCAGCGGGUCCGUGUCCAUGGCCGGACCAUCCGGGCUGGGGGUUUCUUCCCGGAUUGUUGAUGAAUAUACUUGGGGAUUCGUGAUUCUUGUGUCCCUUGAUGCGGUGCGAGAUUCAUUGGGAUUUGGGGCGAGGAAGAUGGGGGUGCGAUUUGGGGGGAUCAUGCCUCGGAUUCUUGGGGUCGCCGGGGAUGCGGUGAUUGAAGGAGAAGACGGUGGAGGGAGAGAGGGAGGGAGGAGGAGGGGGAGGCUUCGGAUUUCAAAAAGAGACUUGGCUCGUUCGAUACUGCCAAUUCCUUUGGUGCGGAUUUUGAGUUGUUAAGAACCCUUGAUUGAUGCAAAUCUUAAUUUUGUUUUAUGUGGAGCAUCAGUGUUGGGGAUAUCUUGUUAAACAUCCAGUUCCCCUGACAUGCAUGAACUGUUCAGUAUAGGAUGCCCAUCUUAUGCAGCUAUGUUUGCUUCGUUUACAUUGUUUUCUAUCAUGUGUUAUGUUUGCAACAUUUCCCUAUGCUCUGAUUGAUAAUAUGUAUUUUGAUGUUUUUGCCUAAUUUGUGUGUGCCUUUGUUUUGUUGGAACUUGUCAAAUCUUGGUCAGAAGGGAAUGUUAUCUCCUGAGAUUGGACAACUUACUAAUAUGCAUAUUCUGUAAGCAUAUUCUAUAGUUCCUCUGGUGACGUUUUUUUCUGAACACUUUGGUUUUGACAUAACAUGUUUCACGCUUUCAACCAUAAGAUAGUAUUUGGUAUUUCUGAAACUACCAACUGAAUAACAGUCAUUUUGCACUUCGAUAUAGGCUAUCAUGUUGAGCACAGUAGUAAAGCUGAAACUUCGUAGUGUGUAUGUUUUCCUGAUGAGGCUUAUGGCCUCAGCUUUUGAGCUGUCAAUUAACGAACAUCAGUUAACUUGGUGUAUGUUCUUUCUUCGAGUGUAGUUGGAUACAAGACAGGUGUUUCUUCUUGGAUCUAGGGGAGAAUACAAUUUUGCAUGGAUCAAAUUCAAGUACAUGAUUAUUUGACGUGUACUGCACAGGAACUUGUUCUAUGGUAUUAUCCCUAGAGAGAUGGGAGAUUUACGAGAGCUGAAGGUGUUGGAUCUGGGGUACAAUAACUUCAACGGAUCAAUUCCAUCAGAGCUAAUAAACAUUUUAUCCCUGGAAUUUAUCUUUCUUAAAAGAAACAUACUUUAUGGUGAUUUACCUCUUGAACUAAAUGAGCUCAUCAGUCUGUGUGAGUCUCAGGUUCGCCACGGCAGGACUUUCUCAAAUAGGAUGCCCGCUGCAAGGUUUGUCUAAGUUUUCUUCUACUUGCAUAUCUGAGAGUUAAACUCGUGAUUAUGCAAGGCUUGAGUUAAAUUUUCAAAUCAAGCAAGGAUUUGAGCAAGCUUGAUUUUGGUUAAAAAACCCCACCCUGUUCCUGUAAUCACAUGUAUGUUAAUGAUAUCUGAAAUAUUUGAGAAUUAUCUAUUUCGACUCAAGAAAUAUCAGACUUCUUUUAGGAACAUUUCCUCCACAAAAUGGUAAAUUAUAUCCGAGUCGGCAUCCCUGAAACCCAGCCCAAAUCCCCACAUAUAACCUCACUCCGGACGAACCCUAGACCCAAAUCUCUAGACAAUGCCAUGUUGAAAGAUAGGCUUGCGAAGAUUCGGCUCAAGAAUUCCUUAGGGUACUUCUGUCUUUAUCAUUUUUGUUCUCACACCUUGGGCAUUGUGUUUGCCCGCCGCAAUGCACGCGUCGACCCGCAGUCCUCAUAUUAAGUGAACCAGAAGCGGUACAUGCGAGAGAAAAGAAAAACAAACCCAACCACCAGCACGACCCUUCCUCUCGAUCCCAUCUGGACCUUUAGUAUUCUCGGGAUAUAUCUGAUUAUGAUGAUGUUCUGUAUUGCUCUCGAGCCGAUAACUUUUUGGACUGCUCGAUGUUGAUAACCAAUGAGACUGCUUUUUUGGUUGUUGGCUGGAGCCUGGAGCUAUCACUAUGACUGAAAUUUUCUUUUCACCAAAGUAAAUUUAUAUGGUCAUCAAAAACCAACGACUUGUCAACACUUGUCAGCAGUUUGCAAUUUGUAUUACAGUAUGCGUAAGCCAAUGGUCAGCCAUUGUUGUUUUAGUUAGGAAAUGUAGAAAACGUGUUCAUGAUUUAUGUAGAUUGCUCAGUCCCUUCAAACAGUAUUUGAUCUUGAGCGGACAAUCUAACUAUAUGUUUCCUUAUAGAAAAUUGACUAUAUGUUCCAUGAAUUGACUGAUUGGUUUGGCCCGAUCAGAUUAAAGUAGGUCUUGAUUUGAAGGUCCAGUUAGGGAGCUGGUGCUGGUUUGCUUGUUGUAAUACUAACUAUGCUAUUUAGACCGAGACAUGUCGUCUUUCUCAUUUCUCGACAUUUUCCUUUGCUGCCAAGUUUUUUCAUUCUAGGUUGUGGAAAAACGGAUGUAGCAUUCCUUCUACAAGUUGUCAUGAGCUGGGACAUAGAAGAAGAGAACCGACGAGAAGUUGCACAGCGGUUCGCUCCGGUGUCGCUGCCAAUGGCGUUGCGCAAAGUGUAGAUUGCAGGCUAGAUGCGUACAAGUUCGUCCUACGUCCACGAUGUCGAAGCAUAGAAAAUCAAGUUAAUUAGAUAGUAUAUCUGGUUAUGAAAGUUGUCUUUUGUGUAUGCAGUUUUGCCAUUAUUUUGUAAAAGCUUUUAGUUUUUGAUAAUGUAAUUGUCUUACUAAUAACACUUUUAAUCAAUUCGUGCCAAGGCUAUUAGCCAAGUUAUGCACAAAUUGUUCAUGUUUC